RNAcentral lists this small nuclear RNA (91 nucleotides) under Cervus elaphus hippelaphus. It matches the Rfam family "Small nucleolar RNA U3", at positions 125 to 219 of the family's 219-position model. From Rfam's summary of the family: Small nucleolar RNAs (snoRNAs) are involved in the processing and modification of rRNA in the nucleolus. The record is from RNAcentral. Lineage: Eukaryota; Metazoa; Chordata; Mammalia; Artiodactyla; Cervidae.
UGGUGUUGCUUUUGCAGCUGCUAUUGGCCAUUGAUGAUCGUUCUUCUCUUCCUUUGGAAGAGUAAGAGGGAGGGAACACCAUCUGAGUGGU